Molecule: long non-coding RNA, 323 nt
Organism: Mastomys coucha (southern multimammate mouse)
Lineage: Eukaryota; Metazoa; Chordata; Mammalia; Rodentia; Muridae
Exons: 2
Source: RefSeq, a predicted model, not a curated record
CUCUCCCCGCCCAAUCUGGCUUGCUGUCCCCUGGACUGUGCCAACAACAAUCCAGUUCCACAGCGUAUAAGGGUGGCUGUGGGGACAGCCUCCAAAGCUGACAGAGAGGCUAUGAAUGCUUCAUGAUGGUCAAAUGGACAGAGCUUCGAUUAGAGACCCCAAGAUGGAUCUUGUGUAGGCAAAAAGGGAUCCCCUCUGGGUGAAGAUAGUCCUGGACAUGGUAAAGAGCAACGGACCUGUACAGAGGCCCAGCUGUGGCCUGCUGGGCUGACUGUCCCACCAGCAGACAGGCUUCAUCAGGAAUAAAAAACAUGUAAAUAUCA